GAAACAAAAGAAGCCCUUCGUUCUUCAAGAAGAUCGAAGCCCGUUGCGAAAGGAAGCCAGCGGUCCAGCCGAGUUGGAAGACUCGGAAUCUUCAGUCGAGCGAAUAGCGUUUUCGGGUUUCCGAAUCGAACCCACGUCUUCAUUUUCACUCAAGUUCAUCUUUUUCGAUCGACCCGUAAGGUCUUCUGGAAACUUCUGCGUGUUUUCCGCUUUGAAUCGUCGCGCCAGAUGCUUCUGCUCUUCAAUUUGAUUCUUUUUUAUUCUGUUUUAAGUUAAUUUGCGUUGAUUUUCGUCGAUGUUGCGACUGUUUUUGCUGGUUAGAUCGUCUUUAACCUGGAGUUGUGCGGUUUCUAGCUCGGGUGGCUAGAAAAUAAGAAAGAUCUGCUUUGGUAAUCAAGAUAGAUAGUAGUGUAAGGAGGUGAAAUUGAGAUUUCAAAAAUGUUUUGUCGUGGUUGUUUUUGAGUCGUAAUUGCUGAUGGGUGUCUGUUGAAUUGCUUCAGUUGAAUUUGCUUGUUGGUCUAAAUGGCCUGCUUUCUUUGAAGUUUGAACUGGAGAUCAUUUUAUGCUUGAGUCGGAUAUUGGGAAUGUGAGUAAUUUGAGCAUGGACACAUCUUCUUCUAUUAGAAAUGGAGAUGAGCUUCUUUCCCACUUUUCAUUUUCAAUAUGCAUGCGAUUGUUCAAAACAAAGUUGAACAUAAUGUGUUGUUAAAUAUAUAGGAUCCUCAUGAUCCUUGAUGACCUCACAUAAUUUUGUAAUAGUAUAUAUUUUGCACUUGAGUUGCUGAGAUCUUACGUGGCAUGUGCAAGAUUUGAUUCCAUGUUCAAAGAUACGUGGUUUCUUAUUGACAGAUGGGGGAGCUCGCAGGCAAUAAACAUGUCAAGUAAAUAUUGUCCGUUGAAAAGGUAGGUAUGAAAUUUCACAAUCCUCUUCUUGUUUUCUUGUUCACUUCUUGCCAGUUACUGAAAAUGACUUGGCUUAUCUGGACUUGCUAUUCACAUUUCGGAGUUUACUGAUUUGAGGUUUUGGGUUGAUCUUGCGCUCAGAAAAAGGAUAGUUUUGAGUCGGUGGUUAUGGAGCACCUGAGAUUGAAUGGAGCAUAUUUGGGAUUGACCACUCUAGAUCUUCUUGAAAACUUGACACCGUGGAUUCAAAUGAAGUUGUUUUGUGGAUCCUGCAAUGCUAGCUUGAGUCUGGUUUGUAGUUAUUUAUCUCUUGGCUUCUUUCUUAAGUACCCAUGAAAAACAUGCAGUAUUUGAAAGAACGAUCAACAUUUUAGCUCGGGAUUAACAGAUUUCCUUUAUUACAAUAAUGACCACAUCUUAGGGGUCAUUAGUGUUGCUUUAUUCAUCUUUUAUUAUAG
This 1361-nucleotide long non-coding RNA is filed under the name Eucalyptus grandis. RNAcentral describes it as "long non-coding RNA (EGRA_LNC004225)". The record is from RNAcentral. Lineage: Eukaryota; Viridiplantae; Streptophyta; Magnoliopsida; Myrtales; Myrtaceae.